This 433-nucleotide ribosomal RNA is filed under the name uncultured bacterium. RNAcentral describes it as "bacterial SSU rRNA". It matches the Rfam family "Bacterial small subunit ribosomal RNA", at positions 549 to 985 of the family's 1533-position model. The record is from RNAcentral.
AAUUAUUGGGCAUAAAGGGCAUCUAGGCGGAUAUACAAGUCAGGGGUGAAAACUUAGGGCUCAACUCAAAGCUUGCCUUUGAAACUGUAUAUCUAGAGUGCUGGAGAGGUGGACGGAACUACACGAGUAGAGGUGAAAUUCGUAGAUAUGUGUAGGAAUGCCGAUGAUGAAGAUAGUCCACUGGACAGCAACUGACGCUGAAGUGCGAAAGCUAGGGGAGCAAACAGGAUUAGAUACCCUGGUAGUCCGCACAGUAAACGAUGGAUGCCCGCUGUUGGUACCUGGUAUCAGCGGCUAAGCGAAAGCAUUAAGCAUCCCACCUGGGGAGUACGCCGGCAACGGUGAAACUCAAAGGAAUUGACGGGGGCCCGCACAAGCGGAGGAACAUGUGGUUUAAUUCGAUGAUACGCGAGGAACCUUACCCGGGCUUGAA